UCUCCGUUGGUGAACCAGCGGAGGGAUCAUUACCGAGUUUACAACUCCCAAACCCCUAUGUGAACGUUACCAAACUGUUGCCUCGGCGGGAAAUUCAUGCCCCGGGCGCGACGCAGCCCCGGACCAAGGCGCCCGCCGGAGGACCAACCAAAACUCUUUUGUAUGUCCCUCGCGGACUUUUAUAAUUCUGAACCAUCUCGGCGCCCCUAGCGGGCGUUUCGAAAAUGAAUCAAAACUUUCAACAACGGAUCUCUUGGUUCUG
This 262-nucleotide unclassified non-coding RNA is filed under the name plant metagenome. Its description in RNAcentral is "partial contains small subunit ribosomal RNA, internal transcribed spacer 1, and 5.8S ribosomal RNA". The record is from RNAcentral.